GGGCGGUUAGCUCAGUUGGUUAGAGCAUCUGCUUUACACGCAGAGGGUCGGGAGUCCGAGUCUCUCACCGCCCACCA
RNAcentral lists this transfer RNA (77 nucleotides) under Kiritimatiellia bacterium. Its description in RNAcentral is "Kiritimatiellae bacterium (gut metagenome) tRNA-Val". It matches the Rfam family "tRNA". Rfam says of the family: Transfer RNA (tRNA) molecules are approximately 80 nucleotides in length. The record is from RNAcentral. Lineage: Bacteria; Pseudomonadati; Kiritimatiellota; Kiritimatiellia.